Molecule: long non-coding RNA, 207 nt
Organism: Pteronotus mesoamericanus
Lineage: Eukaryota; Metazoa; Chordata; Mammalia; Chiroptera; Mormoopidae
Exons: 3
Source: RefSeq, a predicted model, not a curated record
GCAAGGACGCUGCCUGUCUGUCUACAGUCCGCCCCACCCACUCCCUCUUUGUUCUGCUUUCCCUCUCUUCCCUCCUCGCCAAAACCUCUGCCUGCACUGAGAGGGUCUUCUGGACCUUCUCUUCUUGAAGCUAAGCAUGUCAAGCAAGCCUGGGAUUGCCUGCCAUGGCAGGCCUGUGUAACACUGGAAAGAUGAAAAAGAACCUGC